Ictidomys tridecemlineatus (thirteen-lined ground squirrel) is the source of this 72-nucleotide non-coding RNA. The record is from Rfam. Lineage: Eukaryota; Metazoa; Chordata; Mammalia; Rodentia; Sciuridae.
UGGGUUGUGGCUCAGUGGCAGAGCACUUGCCUAGCAAGUGCGAAGCCCUGGGUUCGAUCCUUAGCACCACAU